UACGUAGGGCGCAAGCGUUGUCCGGAAUUAUUGGGCGUAAAGAGCUCGUAGGCGGUCUGUCGCGUCUGCUGUGAAAACUCGAGGCUCAACCUCGGGCUUGCAGUGGAUACGGGCAGACUAGAGUGCGGUAGGGGAGACUGGAAUUCCUGGUGUAGCGGUGGAAUGCGCAGAUAUCAGGAGGAACACCGAUGGCGAAGGCAGGUCUCUGGGCCGCAACUGACGCUGAGGAGCGAAAGCAUGGGGAGCGAACAGG
RNAcentral lists this ribosomal RNA (253 nucleotides) under uncultured bacterium. Its description in RNAcentral is "partial 16S ribosomal RNA". It matches the Rfam family "Bacterial small subunit ribosomal RNA", at positions 524 to 776 of the family's 1533-position model. The record is from RNAcentral.